UAGCUUCGUCCAUUCAACAAACCACACCUCAGCUCUCUCUCUCUUUGCGUUUCUCCCGAGUCUCUCUCUAAAUUAUCCCAUGCCAUCGUUGGCUUCCUUUGCGCCGCGGAUCUCUCGAUGCCUACCGGGAUCCCCCCGGGUCACCGCGGCCAGGUUUCAUCCAGACCCCGUCGCCGUUCUCUCUCUAGCGGUAUCAUGGUUCUGGUUGUGGCAGUCUUGAUGCCGGUGACUCGGUGGGAUCCAGCGACUGAGAUCUUGCCGGCCAGGGAGCUUGCUCCAUCGAUCUCGAUUUAUCGAAUUUCCCCUUAAAUUAGCGGGGCUGCAGAAUUUAUGUUCGGCAAUGCGAGCACCCGGAAUUGAGAUGUUCGACGAGACACUGAUUGGCGGCAAUGGGCACCACGUUCGGCAAACACACGAUGGCCGGCAGUUCAGGGUUCUGUGCUACAGCGUCAAGUUAUACUCUACUGCCUUGGAGUAAAUUUCACCUACCAGCCUCUUGUGCACUGUCGGAGCUGUCUGUAAAUAAACGAGCAAGUGCAGCUGGUUUGCAUGGUUCAGUGCUGAAGCCUCGCUUGACAUCAACUUAGUUUGCGAUCCCUUGCCAUUCAAGUCUUGUGAGGUUUCGUUGCUAGAUUUGCAAGAUCUCCCUAGGCACACAAGUUAUUUGAAGCUGUGGAUUUCUCGUUGAAGAAUAUGAAGUAACUUUGCAGUCUGAUUUUCACCAGCCUAAAUUUUGACCAAUGCUGGUAGAUUUUCAUAAGCCAAGAAGUAUGCGCUCACAACCGCGUCUUGCUUAAGCCAAGAAAAGAUUGCUUCUAAGAUGAAUUUGCUGAACAAGACCCUUGGCUGCUCUGAUGACCUGCUGCAAAUUACGAUCGUCAAGCACCCAAGACUCGAGGUUUCAGCCUGAAAGGAAGGCUGCUGUCCUGAUAUAUUGUCAUGAAGAUACUAUAGGACAGGGGGCUUAUGAGUCCUAAGUUCACCCCAUUGGGUGAUGCGAAUGAUGUAUACAUCACUUCAAGGUCGACUAUUACAAGGAGAGUGUUCCUGAGCUUGCAGACGUGUAUGCAUCAGUUCGCACCCCGGCGGCGUCGAGCAGCAACAUCAUAACUGUGCCUCGAUCCUCUGUCAAGACUUGUAGGAGAAGCUUUUCUGGGGCGAGGCCGAUGGUGGCCAUACGCCAAGGCCCAAUCGCCGCGGGCUUCGACGACACCAUGCCCGGGUCGGUUUCGGCGUGCAGUUGAUGGGGGGCGUGGCAGUUGGUGGAGGAAGCCACGGGAUUUCUUGGCAUCACGACAUCGGAGGGCGUGCGGGCCGGCAGCUGGAACCCGUGCGGUCCGGCAGCUGGAACCCGUGCGGUCCGGUGGUGGUUGAUAAGGCCACGGUCAUGGCUACCCAAGGCCGCGAGGGAUCAGGAAAGGGCCAAGUAUGGGAGGUGUGGGAGAGCAAACGGCGGGGAGAGGCUAUGGGGAACAUGAGAAAGCACACAGCGGCGCUAGCCUGUGGGCUGAAAGAGAAGACUGAUUCCCCUUCGAUUGUUUUUUGUGUCCUUCAUUGUUGAGUCAGAGAGGCAUGUAGGCUUUUUGAGAGUUCACUGUGAAUAAUUUUUUGAGCUUAUCACCGUGAAGUUAUUUUUAUUACCCUUAUUAUUUUAAGGUUAUAAAUGUUCAUCUAUUCAUUUUAUUAUGACAUGUAUAUUUCUUUUUUAAUCAUACAAACUUACGAUCGAAAGUGGUGGAAAGAAUUUUUUUUCAGGAAGUA
Lolium rigidum is the source of this 1761-nucleotide long non-coding RNA. RefSeq lists it as uncharacterized. The transcript has 5 exons. Lineage: Eukaryota; Viridiplantae; Streptophyta; Magnoliopsida; Poales; Poaceae. The record is from RefSeq and is a predicted model, not a curated record.